This 799-nucleotide ribosomal RNA is filed under the name uncultured Acidiphilium sp. RNAcentral describes it as "bacterial SSU rRNA". It matches the Rfam family "Bacterial small subunit ribosomal RNA", at positions 56 to 903 of the family's 1533-position model. Lineage: Bacteria; Pseudomonadati; Pseudomonadota; Alphaproteobacteria; Acetobacterales; Acidocellaceae. The record is from RNAcentral.
UGCAAGUCGCACGGGCAGUAGCAAUAUUGUCAGUGGCGGACGGGUGAGUAACGCGUAGGAAUCUAUCCUUGGAUGGGGGACAACCGUGGGAAACUACGGCUAAUACCGCAUAAUGCCUGAGGGCCAAAGACGUAAGUCGUCUGGGGAGGAGCCUGCGUCUGAUUAGGUAGUUGGUGGGGUAAAGGCCUACCAAGCCUGCGAUCAGUAGCUGGUCUGAGAGGAUGAUCAGCCACAUUGGGACUGAGACACGGCCCAAACUCCUACGGGAGGCAGCAGUGGGGAAUAUUGGACAAUGGGGGCAACCCUGAUCCAGCAAUGCCGCGUGGGUGAAGAAGGUUUUCGGAUUGUAAAGCCCUUUUGGCGGGGACGAUGAUGACGGUACCCGCAGAAUAAGCUCCGGCUAACUUCGUGCCAGCAGCCGCGGUAAUACGAAGGGGGCUAGCGUUGCUCGGAAUGACUGGGCGUAAAGGGCGCGUAGGCGGCUUACAUAGUUAGGCGUGAAAUUCCUGGGCUCAACCUGGGGACUGCGUCUAAUACAUGUAGGCUUGAGUGUGAAAGAGGGUCGUGGAAUUUCCAGUGUAGAGGUGAAAUUCGUAGAUAUUGGAAAGAACACCGGUGGCGAAAGCGGCGACCUGGUUCAUUACUGACGCUGAGGCGCGAAAGCGUGGGGAGCAAACAGGAUUAAAUACCCUGGUAGUCCACGCUGUAAACGAUGUUGUGCUGGAUGUUGGGGUGCUUAGCACUUCAGUGUCGUAGCUAACGCGUAAGCACACCGCUAGAGUACGCGCAGUGAAACUCA